GCUCGUACAGUCAUACGUUCGUGCGCAGGCCUUGUGGCUUGAGCGCAGGGCUUCCCUUGGUGUGGUUUGCUGUGAAAUUUGCUCGGGGCGUGCAAAGAGUGGCUGAGGAUGCGGAGAGGCGUGCGCGGUAACAUUCGUCACCAGCUUUGAGGGCAUGGCGAGAGGCGGGAGCGAACCCAUUAUUUCGUUUGGCUCUGCCCAGCCCUCAAGUGUUUAAAGGGUUGCCGCCUUAAUAAAAAUGAAAGCGAGUGCCGAUUCAACAUUCCAAUUGUUUCGUUCAUUUACAAAAAAAAGCAUUACAAGUCGGUCUUCAUUUGAAUACCCACUUCAAUUCACAGCACCGAUAAAGUAAUUGCACACCGUGCGUUGAUAUCGCAGUGAAUCCCCGACCACGACAUUGAGAUCUGCUGUGGCUACCAUGCUGACCUUGCGUCACGGUUAGCGUGCUGGAUUUACUACGCAGGCAGAGGUCAACUCGACAUGAAGUGACCGGGCUACCAUUGGCGCUGGCGAGGCAGCGAGGCGUAGCUGGAGCUUGAACACGCCAUCCGACUGUCCGUUGGGGUCACAAUGAAAGCGGACUGCGAUGGAAUCACCGAUCUUGCUGAUGAUUUUAGCCAAUCAAAUGAAGGUUGGGCGCUUGUCGCAUCGUUACUCGACCCCGCGGAUCGAUUUGGAAAUUGAACCGACACAAACAUUUUAACCGACACACACAUUAUGCUUAACCCCGUUAAUGUUGCUGUUUGUGUAUUUAUAGAUCGACUGAGCGGAAUCUAUACAAUUAAUCUCGAUUAACGAUCAAGAAUGACCAGGUGUGCGAUUUUAUUGCUCUAUUACAGCGCCAUGUCGACCUUAAUAGGCGUUCGCCAACAGCACUUCCUUCAACUGUGGGAUGUGCAUUGUCCCUUUGACUUCUCUGCUUUUCAAUACAAGCUUUUUUGUGUCGAGUCUGUUGUCCUUCCCCAGCGCAUACGAUAAGCACGGUUGACUACGUACGGUGCGAAAGAAGUUGAACAUUCGUGCAAAUUAGUGAACUCCAGUUCACCAGCAAUGUAUAAAAUAUUCAUUCAGGAGUUAAGUCCUGGUCAUACACAAUCCAAGAACGAUCGUUCGAUUCAUUUACUUAAAGGUGAAAAAAUGCACGUGAAUAAAAAAAGGGUGGCUGUUAAUAUUUAAUAAAAAAAUGUCGUCUAUAUAAUUUUUUUACGUAGGAUAAUGACAUUGCACCCAAAGCACUCGUUUUGCAAUCGCGUGUCGGUGGCGUCAAGGAAUACGCAGUGCGAGCCAGCUUCUCCUCUGAUGUGGUCACGGGCAUUCGGCUCUUCAUUAUUGGUUUAAGAGAGCCGGAGAAGUGUGGACGGGUGGGUGCAGACCGGUUCUCUGCUACACCU
Petromyzon marinus (sea lamprey) is the source of this 1391-nucleotide non-coding RNA. The record is from RefSeq and is a predicted model, not a curated record. Lineage: Eukaryota; Metazoa; Chordata; Hyperoartia; Petromyzontiformes; Petromyzontidae.